This is a long non-coding RNA of Scophthalmus maximus (turbot), 2074 nucleotides long. RefSeq lists it as uncharacterized. NCBI's taxonomy places the organism in Eukaryota, Metazoa, Chordata, Actinopteri, Pleuronectiformes, Scophthalmidae. The record is from RefSeq and is a predicted model, not a curated record. The transcript is spliced from 2 exons.
GUGGUUGGUGGUGAACCGUGGGCUUCAGUCUAGGACUAUACCUCUUAUUGCGGACAGUCACCCAGCCGCCCUGUCCUCCCGGCUGCUCGGGAGCUGAAGGAGCUAAAGAAGCUACACUGGAGCGGCUAGCACCGGCUAGCGGCGACUGGCUAACAGUCUCAGCUAACGACUUACUCUCCACGGUGCAGAGCCGCGCUUCUAACAGACUGAGCCUCGCCUCCAUCCUAGCAAGCAAACUACACUUACUAUAAGUAUCACUGUCGCUAAAGGAGGCGGAGGAGAAACUAAACAUGGAGCAAACAGAGCAGGAGACAGCAGGAGAGGAAGAAGCCAUUGUUAGCUGCUAAAGCUAACUAGCUAAGCUACGGUGAGGAGUGCAGAUAAGAGCGUGUCAACCGCUGUGAGUUAGCGAGCGAGUCGCUGAAAUAGGAAGAGAGCUGUGAGCGUUUAGACUAAACAUGGGAGAGUGGAGCGGAUAGUUGUCCCAAUAGUUAGAGGAAACCGCAGUGUUAAAGAGAGACGAGGAGGAGCGGUGGAUAAACACAGUUCACAGAAGCGACAACAACCGGAAGUGACACAAUACGUUACCGCGAGAGUUCCCAGUCCUAGUAACGACUCGGACGGACUAUUGCCUGGAACAGCCUUCGAGAUCUUCCUUGGACAAGAUUUCAUCAUCAACUGCACAAUUGUUUUCUGCAACGAUUCACCACCUGCUGUGACCUGGUAUAAAGAGUUGAACCGUUUUUAAUGGAUAUCGUUUUUGAUAUUCCAAAAAGUCCUCAGCAGCGACUCAGGUCUGUAUCAGUGUCGAAGUGGGUAUGAUGUGAGUCAUAGCAUCAACGUUUCUGUCCAUGUUGUGUGACUUUUUCAGUUAUUUAUUGGUGUAUAUGCAUAAGAAACCUGUGUUCACAUUGUACAGCUUACGUUUCUAAUAAGUGCUACUGACUAAGAAAAGGACAAGUGCAGUGCUACAUUUGGAUUUAGAAGUAAGAAACAUUCCCCCCUAUUUUAACACCGCCUAUGUUCAUAUGAUGAAAAAAAUUAUGACAAUAGCCCUGUAUAAUUUUAUGGGUGGUGGUGAACUUAACAUUGUUUCAUGGAAGAAUUCACAAGUAAGACAAGUCCAUUUAUGGUGUUUUGCACGUGUUUCCACCUGCCCUGCACAGUGUUACUUUAAUCUGAACUCAAACAUCUACCAAGGUUGAUAAAACAAUCUCGUAGUGAGAUUGUUUUAUCAACUGCCGUUUCUGAGGUCAAGAAUAAACUCAAGCUUAAAGCAUUUAUGGUAAAACAAAAAUAUGUGGCUUCACAGUUCCCCUUGAGACAGUCUACUUCAUGAGAGGUCACUUUCAGUUCCUUUAACCACGGCAAAUUGUGUUCACAAGAUCAAAGGUCACCAGUGCGUUUAAUCAGUUUUUAUUCUCCAUAAAAUACACUUGUCAUGCUAUAUAAUUCUCUAUAUUUGUAAUCUGCAUGUGUUUUCAUUUUGUGUCCUGCAGGUAACGACUCGGACGGACUAUUAAGUAAGACAAGUCCAUUUAUGGUGUUUUGCACGUGUUUCCACCUGCCCUGCACAGUGUUACUUUAAUCUGAACUCAAACAUCUACCAAGGUUGAAAAAAAAGGUUCUUGAUCUUGAAGUGUUCCCACCAUGAGAACUAACUACCUGACUAUCCUUAUGUUUCUGUUUUGGCGCUGCUUGGUUGCACUUUGGAAACUGACAGUAAGUUAUUGUUGAUCAUUUCUUAAAUGCUUCCUCGAGUCUGAGCAGGGUUUUGUUCUCCAUCUAUGUAGAUGGAAUCGUUUCCACGCAGCCAAUCAAAAUGAUUUGUUUGCAACCAUAUUUGGUGAAAGCAGGAGCCUGAUGUCAGAGUUGUAGGCAGAUGGUCACACGGUCCGAGCUGCUACACAAAAGGCACAGGCUUUGAACGACAACCGCAUUAGGUCUCCGUCUUAUCUCAUACACAAACAAGAUUAUUUUGGUGGCUCGUGUAGUCCUACUACCGUGCAGGACUACACAAAAAAGACUGUCAGCUUUUGUCAGCUUAAAACUAUGUACUCAUACAUUAAACUAC